GUGAAUCAUCAAAUUUUUGAACGCAAAUUGCACUUUCUGGUAUUCCGGAGAGUAUGCCUGUUUGAGGGUCAGUUAAAUCAAAAUCGUUGUUGUUGCUGCUUUUCGUGGUGACGCGUCGGCUUUGAGUUGUCUUACCUUCGGUUAGGUGACUUAAAUUUUGACUUGAUUUUUCAACGUAUUUACAUUUCUUAAGUACGUUUGAUAUAUCGAGUUCUUUAUUAGUUUCGGUAAUCCACAUACAUG
Molecule: unclassified non-coding RNA, 243 nt
Filed under: Glomus sp.
Lineage: Eukaryota; Fungi; Glomeromycota; Glomeromycetes; Glomerales; Glomeraceae
Description: partial contains 5.8S ribosomal RNA and internal transcribed spacer 2
Rfam family: 5.8S ribosomal RNA (bases 1-71)
Source: RNAcentral